Molecule: long non-coding RNA, 612 nt
Filed under: Gallus gallus (chicken)
Lineage: Eukaryota; Metazoa; Chordata; Aves; Galliformes; Phasianidae
Description: lncRNA (ENSGALG00010001576.1)
Source: RNAcentral
GGCACACGCGAGGCGGCGGCGGCGGCCCCGGGGAGAACCCCGCCGGGGGGCAUCCCGCGGCCUCGGCGGCCUUUCUGACGCUCGCAUCUUUUUCUGAUUUACGCCGUUCGGUCGCUUUGCCGUAAACUCAGUGGGUCUCGCCGGGAGCCGGUUCACGCAGAGGUUGAGCAGAUGGCUCGCGUUCUGACAUGCCGCUGACCCGGGCCGAGGGGAAAACAGAGCCAGACGGCCCGCGGGCUUUGCGGGCAGAGGGGCAGCCGAGCACGGCGGCUGGGGAGCGGGGGGCACACCCAGCCCGCUGCGGGCCGACGUAACGGGGGGCACCGGUAACCGUGAGGCUCAGGUAACCGGGGGGCUCAGGCAAAUGACGUCACUGUAGGGCUGAGGUAACCGGGGGGCUCAGGCAAAUGACGUCACUGUAGGCCUGAGGUAACCGGGGGGCUCAGGCAAAUGACGUCACUGUAGGGCUGAAGUAACCGGGGGGGGGGGGUUCAGGUAAAUGACGUCACAGCGGGGCUGAGGUUACUGAGGGGCAGAGGUCACUGAGUGCGUUCCCGCCCGCUCCGCGAUCUCUCAGCGUGUGCGCGCCGCCGCCACGCGCCGCACGCACGC